Molecule: ribosomal RNA, 468 nt
Filed under: uncultured bacterium
Lineage: Bacteria
Description: partial 16S ribosomal RNA
Rfam family: Bacterial small subunit ribosomal RNA
Source: RNAcentral
GACGAACGCUGGCGGCGUGCUUAACACAUGCAAGUCGAACGGAAAGGCCCUGCUUUUGUGGGGUGCUCGAGUGGCGAACGGGUGAGUAACACGUGAGUAACCUGCCCUUGACUUUGGGAUAACUUCAGGAAACUGGGGCUAAUACCGGAUAGGAGCUCCUGCUGCAUGGUGGGGGUUGGAAAGUUUCGGCGGUUGGGGAUGGACUCGCGGCUUAUCAGCUUGUUGGUGGGGUAGUGGCUUACCAAGGCUUUGACGGGUAGCCGGCCUGAGAGGGUGACCGGCCACAUUGGGACUGAGAUACGGCCCAGACUCCUACGGGAGGCGGCAGUGGGGAAUAUUGCACAAUGGGCGGAAGGCUGAUGCAGCAACGCCGCGUGCGGGAUGACGGCCUUAGGGUUGUAAACCGCUUUCGCCUGUGACGAAGCGUGAGUGACGGUAAUGGGUAAAGAAGCACCGGCUAACUACGUG